GAUGAACGCUGACGGCGUGCCUAAUACAUGCAAGUCGAGCGAACGGACGAGAAGCUUGCUUCUCUGAUGUUAGCGGCGGACGGGUGAGUAACACGUGGAUAACCUACCUAUAAGACUGGGAUAACUUCGGGAAACCGGAGCUAAUACCGGAUAAUAUUUUGAACCGCAUGGUUCAAAAGUGAAAGACGGUCUUGCUGUCACUUAUAGAUGGAUCCGCGCUGCAUUAGCUAGUUGGUAAGGUAACGGCUUACCAAGGCAACGAUGCAUAGCCGACCUGAGAGGGUGAUCGGCCACACUGGAACUGAGACACGGUUCAGACUCCUACGGGAGGCAGCAGUAGGGAAUCUUCCGCAAUGGGCGAAAGCCUGACGGAGCAACGCCGCGUGAGUGAUGAAGGUCUUCGGAUCGUAAAACUCUGUUAUUAGGGAAGAACAUAUGUGUAAGUAACUGUGCACAUCUUGACGGUACCUAAUCAGAAAGCCACGGCUAACUACGUG
This 497-nucleotide ribosomal RNA is filed under the name uncultured bacterium. Its description in RNAcentral is "partial 16S ribosomal RNA". It matches the Rfam family "Bacterial small subunit ribosomal RNA", at positions 28 to 507 of the family's 1533-position model. The record is from RNAcentral.